RNAcentral lists this ribosomal RNA (324 nucleotides) under uncultured Streptococcus sp. Its description in RNAcentral is "bacterial SSU rRNA". It matches the Rfam family "Bacterial small subunit ribosomal RNA", at positions 1042 to 1382 of the family's 1533-position model. Lineage: Bacteria; Bacillati; Bacillota; Bacilli; Lactobacillales; Streptococcaceae. The record is from RNAcentral.
CGAUGGCUGUCGUCAGCUCGUGUCGUGAGAUGUUCGGUUAAGUCCGCUAACGAGCGCAACCCUCGCUGUGUGUUACAAGUGUCACACGGAACUGCCGGUCAUAAACCGGAGGAAGUGGGGAUGACGUCAAGUCAGCAUGGCCUUUAUAUCCUGGGCUACACACGUGCUACAAUGGUUGGUACAACGAGUUGCGAGUCGGUGACGGCGAGCUAAUCUCUUAAAGCCAAUCUCAGUUCGGAUUGUAGGCUGCAACUCGCCUACAUGAAGUCGGAAUCGCUAGUAAUCGCGGAUCAGCACGCCGCGGUGAAUACGUUCCCGGGCCUU